This 229-nucleotide long non-coding RNA is filed under the name Salvia miltiorrhiza (redroot sage). RNAcentral describes it as "long non-coding RNA (SMIL_LNC014445)". The record is from RNAcentral. Lineage: Eukaryota; Viridiplantae; Streptophyta; Magnoliopsida; Lamiales; Lamiaceae.
GGAAAAGAAUACAGAUGGGCUAAAAUUUCGGCCCAGUAACUAAAACUCCAAAUCUCUUAUUCUUAGUGGGCUUAAAACAAUAAAGAAAUAGAGAAAAGACCCAUUAAAAAUAGAUGGGCUUUAUUCAAAAUAAAAAUAAAAAUAAAAAUAAAAAAAUGCUUUUGAUUUUUAGCAAAUAAAAAAUUCUAAAAUAAAUAAAAGUUCCGCGUCGAUAUUUUCUCAAUAACAC